RNAcentral lists this ribosomal RNA (206 nucleotides) under uncultured bacterium. RNAcentral describes it as "partial 16S ribosomal RNA". It matches the Rfam family "Bacterial small subunit ribosomal RNA", at positions 568 to 774 of the family's 1533-position model. The record is from RNAcentral.
UGCGUAGGUGGUGAGGUAAGUCGGAUGUGAAAGCUCCGAGCUCAACUCGGAAAUGGCAUUGGAAACUACCUUGCUAGAGGGUUUGAGGGGGGACUGGAAUACUUGGUGUAGCAGUGAAAUGCGUAGAUAUCAAGUAGAACACCAGUGGCGAAGGCGAGUCCCUGGAAAACUCCUGACACUGAGGCACGAAAGCUAGGGAGCAAACA